AAUUUUUGACGGCCUAUAUGAGCCGUUUGUUUGUUUAAUGGUGUAGAACAAUCCAAAUUGCUUGAAUUUUUGAUAGAAAAUUUUUUAUACUAUUUAGAUAAUGUUUGAUAACUCUUAUUAUAAAUUGAGAAAGUCUCACCUGUAUUUUAAGAAGGUUAUUCAUUUAUGACUGUUCAUUUUUUAACUCUUAAGAUGAACUUGAUAAUGAUUUUUAAAUAUUACAAAAUUUGGUUUCCAAACAUUUCUAAUUGUGUAAAUCAAUUUCAACGGUGCCGAUUAUCAAUUUGAAAUUCCGAUCAAUCAAAACGACUUGAUAGGACAAUGGCUCCAAUCCUAUUAAUAGGAUAAUAGCCGGACUCUAUAUAUAUAU
RNAcentral lists this long non-coding RNA (370 nucleotides) under Ananas comosus (pineapple). Its description in RNAcentral is "long non-coding RNA (ACOM_LNC030864)". The record is from RNAcentral. Lineage: Eukaryota; Viridiplantae; Streptophyta; Magnoliopsida; Poales; Bromeliaceae.